GAUGAAGACGUAGCGAAAUGCGAUAAGUAGUGUGAAUUGCAGAAUUCAGUGAAUCAUCGAAUCUUUGAACGCACAUUGCGCCCCAUGGUAUUCCGUGGGGCAUGCCUGUUCGAGCGUCAUUUACCCCCUCAAGCUCCGCUUGGUGUUGGGCGUCUGUCCCGCUUCGCGCGCGGACUCGCCCCAAAGGUAUUGGCAGCGGUCGUGCCAGCUUCUCGCGCAGCACAUUGCGCUUCUCGAGGCACCGGUGGGCCCGCGUCCAUCAAGCUCACCCCCCCAGUUUGACCUCGGAUCAGGUAGGGAUACCCGCUGAACUUAAGCAUAUCAAUAAGCGGAGGA
Molecule: unclassified non-coding RNA, 336 nt
Filed under: soil metagenome
Description: partial contains 5.8S ribosomal RNA, internal transcribed spacer 2, and large subunit ribosomal RNA
Rfam family: 5.8S ribosomal RNA (bases 1-119)
Source: RNAcentral